RNAcentral lists this ribosomal RNA (261 nucleotides) under uncultured bacterium. RNAcentral's name for it is "partial 16S ribosomal RNA". It matches the Rfam family "Bacterial small subunit ribosomal RNA", at positions 793 to 1055 of the family's 1533-position model. The record is from RNAcentral.
GUCCACGCAGUAAACGAUGCCGACUGGGCGUGGGGGGAGUUGACCCCCUCCGUGCCGGAGCCAACGCGGGAAGUCGGCCGCCUGGGGAGUACGGCCGCAAGGCUAAAACUCAAAGGAAUUGACGGGGGCCCGCACAAGCGGCGGAGCGUGCGGUUUAAUUCGACGCGACGCGCAGAACCUUACCAGGGCUUGACAUGCAUCUGCACGGUCUGGAAACGAUCCGCCUUCGAGGGUGAUGCACAGGUGCUGCAUGGCUGUCGU